GCUGGCGGCAGGCCUAACACAUGCAAGUCGAGCGCGCCUUCGGGCGAGCGGCGGACGGGUUAGUAACGCGUGGGAACGUGCCCAGAUCUACGGAAUAGCCACUGGAAACGGUGAGUAAUACCGUAUACGCCCUUCGGGGGAAAGAUUUAUCGGAUUUGGAUCGGCCCGCGUUAGAUUAGGUAGUUGGUGGGGUAACGGCCUACCAAGCCUACGAUCUAUAGCUGGUUUUAGAGGAUGAUCAGCAACACUGGGACUGAGACACGGCCCAGACUCCUACGGGAGGCAGCAGUGGGGAAUCUUGGACAAUGGGGGCAACCCUGAUCCAGCCAUGCCGCGUGAGUGAAGAAGGCCCUAGGGUCGUAAAACUCUUUCGCCUGUGAUGAUAAUGACAGUAGCAGGUAAAGAAACCCCGGCUAACUCCGUGCCAGCAGCCGCGGUAAUACGGAGGGGGUUAGCGUUGUUCGGAAUUACUGGGCGUAAAGCGCACGUAGGCGGAUUAGAAAGUUAGAGGUGAAAUCCCGGGGCUCAACCCCGGAACUGCCUUUAAAACUACUA
Molecule: ribosomal RNA, 555 nt
Filed under: uncultured Paracoccaceae bacterium
Lineage: Bacteria; Pseudomonadati; Pseudomonadota; Alphaproteobacteria; Rhodobacterales; Paracoccaceae
Description: bacterial SSU rRNA
Rfam family: Bacterial small subunit ribosomal RNA
Source: RNAcentral